GCGGAGGGGAUGGGCCCAGGAGGAGGUAUUCGGCGGGAGCCGGCGCCGGGCGAUCGCUUCCAGCCCCCUGAGCCCUCUCCCUCAAGGGAAGGGCACACUCACUGACCCUCCGGAGCCUCCAAAACAGAAGUCACUGAAACCUGCAUCUUCCUUCUCUGCCCCCCUCGCCCUCUCCCUCCUGCAAAGUUGCUGCAGCAGUGGAUUUCGAUUUUAUGCACCCCGAAGCCAGCCAGUUUCUGUGGAACUCCCCUCCGAAAAACCUCCUCUUCCUGCAGGGCAACAAACUCAGUUCUUUUCUGAAAAUAAACUACCUCACCUGCAGGGAACUAGACUGGGGUGGGGGUGGG
Bos taurus (domestic cattle) is the source of this 347-nucleotide long non-coding RNA. Lineage: Eukaryota; Metazoa; Chordata; Mammalia; Artiodactyla; Bovidae. The record is from Ensembl.